This is a long non-coding RNA of Magnolia sinica, 976 nucleotides long. RefSeq lists it as uncharacterized. The transcript is spliced from 2 exons. The record is from RefSeq and is a predicted model, not a curated record. NCBI's taxonomy places the organism in Eukaryota, Viridiplantae, Streptophyta, Magnoliopsida, Magnoliales, Magnoliaceae.
UACCCAAGCAAAAACUUCCAACGGUCCAAAACCCAAACCUCAAACCUUCUCAAUUUCUCAUCUCUCUCCCUCUUUCUUAUCAAUUCCUCUUUCUACUCUCCGAAGCCCGAAAUGACUGAUCGGACGGCGGACGCUUGCCCUCCCUUUACCCCUUUCCUCUUCUUCUCAUUCUUCUUCCCAAAUCCAAGGACCGGAUCCCCUUUUCAGUUUUUCCUUUUCCUCGUCUUCUCAUUCUCCAUUUCUCCAUCCCAAAUCUGAUCCGAGCAUCCGACGACCCUUCGCUGGAGCGGAGCCUGGAACUGAAGAGAUUGGUGCUCUCUCUCUCUUUCUCCUUUUCAUAUGUUGCGGCCCUUGCCGGUUGGCAAACACCAUCACCCGUGGCCCACACAGGCCGUGGGUCCCAUGGGCCCACCUGCAGAGAUGAUAUGGCCCAACAAUGAUGGUGAGAUCGAAGGAGGUGGUUGUGGGUCCGAGCGUUUUACGGUUGAAGGGGUUUUACGGUUGAAGGGUAUGCCGAUGCUAGAAGGGAAGCAUCUUCGCUUUCCUGAAGGAGAGGAUUGAAGGGAAUUUUCUCUGAAGUUCUGGAAUUUUUGAAGAUCUGAGUCACAGAUUUGGAAUGUACAAUCAAUGUCUAAGAAGAUGCAUGUACAUGGAGAUUGCUGGAUGCCAGGACUCCAUGGAAGGAAUGCUGAUCUUAGAUGGAAAUAUAGAGAUCUCUUUCAACAAUUCCUCAAGAUGCAAACAAAGAAGCAGAUUAACUAGCUGAGAACAAACUAGAGUGUUGAUGGCAAUUUCCCACUAGAUUCUUUCGUCAUACUCAAUUGGGCGUUUGAGAAUUAAAUCUCUCACCUUUCCCUUUUUACUCUCCAGCAAGGCAUGCUUCGUCUUUAUGUUUCUUCAAACAUGCAUGUGCAUGUAUGUAUGUAUGUGCGUAUUUACAUUCAUUCAAGAUUGACCCGGUUACAAUUUCGCUAUA